Molecule: long non-coding RNA, 789 nt
Organism: Gorilla gorilla gorilla (western lowland gorilla)
Lineage: Eukaryota; Metazoa; Chordata; Mammalia; Primates; Hominidae
Exons: 2
Source: RefSeq, a predicted model, not a curated record
GGUCUCACUAUGUUACCCAGGCUGGUCUUGAACUCCUGGGCUCAAGCAAUACUCCCCCUCCCAAAGUGCUGGGGUUACAGGCAUGAGCUACCCACCGCACUCAGCUCUUUGUAGGGAUUUAUCAUAAAUUUUUUUUCCAUAGAAUUUGGGGCUUCUCAAAUUUUUCUUUAAUACUCGUUUGUUCCUUCUACUUACUUUGGGUUUAUUUUUCUCUGCUUUUUCUAGCUUAAGGUGGAAACCUGUAUCACUGAUUUUCUCCUUUCUUCUGAUAGAAGCAUUUACAAUUCUAAGUUUCCCUCUAAGCACUGCUUUUAGCUGAAUCCUACACAUUUUGUUUUCAUUAUCAUUUAGUUCAAAGUAUUUUUUUUCUUUUUUUCCCUUGAUUUAUGAGUUGCUGUGUGUGUGUAAGAGACAAGGUCACCCUCUGUUGUUCAGGCUGGAGUGCAGUGGUGCCAUCAUAGCUCACUGCAGCCUCAAACUCCUGGGCUCAAGCAAUCCUGCUCCCUCAGCCUCCUGACUUGCUGGGACUACAGUUGGACUUGAUUCCACCGCAGGCUCUGGCUCCAGAGGAAGAGAUGGGGGCUUUGUGAACUGGGAUGUUCCUCCAGCACCUAGUAACAAAAUAAAAACUUGAAUCCUCAUGUUCCACAAUUUCAGAAGAAAUCAUUCUUUUUUGCUGUUAGAGUUCAAGAGGAAACCCCAUAUUUUCUGGAACCAGUGGGACUGACCCAUUAGCUAUAAGGGAAGACUAUAACUGAGAAAUAAAGCAACAGUCAAGUUUGCCUUCAA